RNAcentral lists this transfer RNA (97 nucleotides) under Didymella glomerata. Its description in RNAcentral is "tRNA-Pro". RNAcentral also lists the same sequence under 1 other name. Lineage: Eukaryota; Fungi; Ascomycota; Dothideomycetes; Pleosporales; Didymellaceae. The record is from RNAcentral.
GGUCCUGUGGUCUAGUGGUAUGAUUCUCGCUUAGGGACUAGCGUCCAGCACUAAGCACUCUUGCGAGAGGCCCCGCGUUCGAGUCGCGGCAGGACCC